GUGGGGCUCAGCUGCUCCCCUGCUGAGAGUGGUGCUUGCUCUGCGCCUUGGGAAUGCUCUCCUUCCAGCUCCAAGCCAGGAAAAGGUGGAGGUGGACACCGCCUGCGGUGGUCAGGCACUGCAAUGGGCUGCCCAGAGAGGUGGUGGAGUCGCCGAGCCUGGAGGUGUUCAAAGAGCGCUUGGAUGUUGUGUUGAGGGACAUGGUUUAGCGGGAACCAUUGGUGAUGGGCGAACGGUUGGAAUGGGUGAUCCUGUGGGUCUUUUCCAACCUGAGCGAUUCUAUGAUUUAACAGCCCCAUAUGGCCAGUGUGUAAAGCCAGUGGGGAAUGGAGGCUGAUGGUAGAUUACCGUGGCCUGAAUGAAGUCACACCUCCACCGAGUGCUGCUGUGCUGGACGUUAGAACUCCAGUAUGAACUGGAGUUGAAAGCAGCCAAGUGGUAUGCCACCACUGACAUUGCUUGGGUCUUUCCAGCCUCCGGGAAGGGCAGAUCUCUCUGUGGAAUGGUUUUUGUUUGGGGACUUGGGUCCACUUGGUGGGUGAUGCAGAAAGAUGGGGAUGUUCAAUGUGUACCACAAGGGAAUCUGAUGCUGGGGGAGUGCAGUCAGUAAUUCCACGUGUAUAUAUAUAUAUGUAUAUAGAUAUGUGUGUGUGUAAUGCAUGUUAAUUGCUGUUUGUUUGUAUAUAUGUAUAUAUUUAGCAUGAGUGAUGUGGAAUAAGGGGUGGAACGUCACGGCUUUAUGAUUUUUGUUUCCACGUCAUAACAUCAUGUAACGCACGGGGAGUUAAAGAGUUAAUGCCCCACUUCCAUGGACCGCCAGCUUUCCGGAUUCCAGGCUCUCAGAAGAGAACUGCAUGCCCCAGAGGACUUUGUGUUCAAAGGAGAAGAUCAGACCCACAAGUCAUGGGACUCACUCCCUCUGUUGCUGCCCUGCAGUGUGUGGUUGUGCUCCUCAGCCGUUUCACCUUCAGUUCAGAGUAAGGCCUUCAGUUUCUGACACUCUCUCUCUCAUUUUAUUUGAUUUAUUAGCCACAGUUCCAAUUAUACAUUGCAUUAUGUUGUGCUAUCUUGCAUUAGUAAAUUAACUUUCCUCCUCA
RNAcentral lists this long non-coding RNA (1097 nucleotides) under Gallus gallus (chicken). RNAcentral describes it as "lncRNA (ENSGALG00010028837.1)". The record is from RNAcentral. Lineage: Eukaryota; Metazoa; Chordata; Aves; Galliformes; Phasianidae.